AAUUAAGCCAAUUUAAUUGUUCCAGGAUAAGAAUGGUUUCACAGUGCAAUAAACCCCCAGUCCUUCCCCCUACACCUCCCCUCUCCCCAUCCUUACCUCCGCUCUCCCCCUCCCCACCUCCCCUCUCCCCCUCCCCACCUCCCCUACCUCCUAAACCGGCAAAUACAGAUCUAAUCUUCGAUCUAGAAAAAGUCAGGUUGGGAAAAUGGAAAAGAAUGCAGACAGAAGAACAGCAACGCCUGAGAGGAUUAAGCCGGAGCCCCACCCCACCCUGUCGUCCUCCAAAACCCCUAAUUCUCAAAAUUGGAGACAACAUCUCACUCUCUGCAGAUUUCCAGGAUUUGACCGUUAUCCCUGACAACUUCAAGAAUGAUAAAGGAAACUUCAAUCCAAAAACAUCUUUCCAGUUACGCUGCGGUUGCAGAACAUCUACCAGUAGACCGUUGUGGAUACCAGACUCAGUUAAACCUAAUCAAGAUAUAAAAAUUCUUGAUCAGGAGAAGAAAAAGAUAAAAACAGGAGUUGACGUCAGGAAAGUUAAAACAGGAGUUGAUGUCAGGAAAAUUAAAACAGGAGUUGAUGUCAAGAAGAUUGACCAAACAGUUACAGGAAGUUCAAGAAGACUGCAGAUUGAUGAUGAGAAUAACAAGGUUCCCUCUGCAGAUUUAUCAAACAUUAACUUCAAUAAUAUCCAUCCAGACCUUGAAAGUCUCAAAGAGGAGAAAAUAGGGGUUAAUGAUAAAAACAUUGAAAAUGAGUCUGAGAGGUUGAAAAGAUUAAGCUUUGCCUCCUCCUCCUCCUCAUUGGAUCUAUCCACUACUUCAUCAAUAACUAUUCAAGGUUCAAGUAAUGAAACCCUGUUUGAUGUUUUCCAAGAUAAUUCUCAAGCUCAUCUUCAAGAAACUAAACUGGAGGAGAUUAAUCCUGCUUCAAAAAUAAACCUUUCCACUCCCUUGAGAUUGAAAUGUUCGAAUAAAAAUACCGAGAGCAGUUCAAAUUGUCGGAAUAAGAAUAAAAAGAAAAAGGAACUUUUGGCGGCAAUAUGGCGACGUGUUGAUUUCUGGCGAUGUAGAAAACUUGAAAUCGACAGAGAAAUUAAGGAAAAUGAAGAAAUAAGACAAGACAUUGAAUAUAAGUUGCAAGGAUUGGCGAGGACUAGUGAGAGUAUAAAGUUUUGUAGUUUAGUUCAAGAUAUUGAUAGAAUAACUAAACUGAUGCUUAUCCUCUCAGGUUGUCUGGCGCGGUUAGAGAAUAAUCUCUACUAUUGUGUUGAAGCUGAUAUUAGUAUUAUAUCAAGGAAGAAGGAGAAAAUACUUCAACAAAUUGAGGAUGCGCGGCAUUUAGAAAGUUUUGUUGAAAGAAGAGCAUCCGAAGUUUGUCAACUAGUGGAAAAAUAUCUUCAGUCUGCUGAUAUUGUUAAAUAUAGGAGGUUUUUGAGUAACAAGACGAGACUUAUAGUCGAGGGAAGAGAAACAGAGGAGAGAGUUAGAUUAGCUCUGCAGCAGAUCAAUAUAAUACAAGGGUAUACUAUAAACAGAGGAGAGGGUUAGAUUAGCUCUGCAGCAGAUCAAUAUAAUACAAGGGUAUACUCUAAACAGAGGAGAGAGUUAGAUUAGCUCUGCAGCAGAUCAAUAUAAUACAAGGGUAUACUAUAAACAGAGGAGAGAGAUUUA
Molecule: unclassified non-coding RNA, 1673 nt
Filed under: Eurytemora carolleeae
Lineage: Eukaryota; Metazoa; Arthropoda; Copepoda; Calanoida; Temoridae
Description: protein Shroom2
Source: RNAcentral